Molecule: ribosomal RNA, 498 nt
Filed under: uncultured bacterium
Lineage: Bacteria
Description: partial 16S ribosomal RNA
Rfam family: Bacterial small subunit ribosomal RNA
Source: RNAcentral
AUUGAACGCUGGCGGCAUGCCUUACUCAUGCAAGUCGAACGGUAACAGGUCUUCGGAUGCUGACGAGUGGCGAACGGGUGAGUAAUACAUCGGAACGUGCCUAGUAGUGGGGGAUAACUACUCGAAAGAGUGGCUAAUACCGCAUGAGAUCUACGGAUGAAAGCAGGGGAUCGCAAGACCUUGUGCUACUAGAGCGGCCGAUGGCAGAUUAGGUAGUUGGUGGGAUAAAAGCUUACCAAGCCGACGAUCUGUAGCUGGUCUGAGAGGACGAUCUGCCACACUGGGACUGAGACACGGCCCAGACUCCUACGGGAGGCAGCAGUGGGGAAUUUUGGACAAUGGGCGAAAGCCUGAUCCAGCAAUGCCGCGUGCAGGAUGAAGGCCUUCGGGUUGUAAACUGCUUUUGUACGGAACGAAAAGCCCCGGGUUAAUACCCUGGGGUCAUGACGGUACCGUAAGAGUAAGCACCGGCUAACUACGUGCCAGCCGCCGCCGUAA